Molecule: ribosomal RNA, 499 nt
Filed under: uncultured bacterium
Lineage: Bacteria
Description: partial 16S ribosomal RNA
Rfam family: Bacterial small subunit ribosomal RNA
Source: RNAcentral
GACGAACGCUGGCGGCGUGCCUAAUACAUGCAAGUCGAGCGAAGUUUUUCUGGUGCUUGCACUAGAAAAACUUAGCGGCGAACGGGUGAGUUACACGUAAAGAACCUGCCUCAUAGACUGGGACAACUAUUGGAAACGAUAGCUAAUACCGGAUAACAGUAUUUCUCGCAUGAGAGAUAUUUAAAAGUUGGUUAUGCUAACACUAUGAGAUGGCUUUGCGGUGCAUUAGCUAGUUGGUGGGGUAAAGGCCCACCAAGGCGACGAUGCAUAGCCGACCCGAGAGGGUGAUCGGCCACACUGGGACUGAGACACGGCCCAGACUCCUACGGGAGGCAGCAGUAGGGAAUCUUCCGCAAUGGGCGAAAGCCUGACGGAGCAACGCCGCGUGAGUGAAGAAGGAUUUCGGUUCGUAAAGCUCUGUUGUUAGGGAAGAAUGGAUAUGUAGUAACUAUACAUGUAAGAGGCGGUACCUAACCAGAAAGCCACGGCUAACUACGUG